RNAcentral lists this small nucleolar RNA (132 nucleotides) under Choloepus hoffmanni (Hoffmann's two-fingered sloth). Its description in RNAcentral is "Small nucleolar RNA SNORA42/SNORA80 family (ENSCHOG00000014503.1)". It matches the Rfam family "Small nucleolar RNA SNORA42/SNORA80 family". Rfam says of the family: The members of this family belong to the H/ACA class of snoRNAs that guide the sites of modification of uridines to pseudouridines. Human ACA42 (SNORA42) was cloned from HeLa cells by immunoprecipitation with anti-GAR1 antibody. Its is predicted to guide the pseudouridylation of residues U109 and U572 of 18S rRNA. The record is from RNAcentral. Lineage: Eukaryota; Metazoa; Chordata; Mammalia; Pilosa; Megalonychidae.
GCAUGGGUUUGGAUUUAUGGCAGGCCCGUCCCACCGGGCCUCUCAUAGUGUCCCAUGCCACAUCAAAUCGUAACCCCGAACCAUUGCCUGGCCUUGUCCGUUGGCUUUGGCACUGAAGCGGGUUGCACAGUG